This 271-nucleotide long non-coding RNA is filed under the name Homo sapiens (human). Its description in RNAcentral is "HSALNT0074356". Lineage: Eukaryota; Metazoa; Chordata; Mammalia; Primates; Hominidae. The record is from RNAcentral.
UUGUAGGAAUAACUACUGGAGCUUCAAGCACAGGCUGCUAGGAAUGGGAAGAAAACGAAUUUGAGAGGCACUGUGCAAAAGACAACAGCCUUGUGAAGACAUAGACACACAGGAAAAAAUGCCAUGUGAAGACAGAAGUAGAAAUUGGAGUCACGCAUUUAUGACCCAAGCAAUGGCCUGGCUUGUCAGCUGUCACCAGAAGCUAGGUGGAAUGGAACAGAUUCUCGCUUAGUGCCUCCAUAAGGCACCAACUCUGCCAACACCUUGAUUU